This 77-nucleotide transfer RNA is filed under the name Pseudomonadota bacterium. RNAcentral describes it as "tRNA-Thr". It matches the Rfam family "tRNA". From Rfam's summary of the family: Transfer RNA (tRNA) molecules are approximately 80 nucleotides in length. Their secondary structure includes four short double-helical elements and three loops (D, anti-codon, and T loops). Lineage: Bacteria; Pseudomonadati; Pseudomonadota. The record is from RNAcentral. RNAcentral also lists the same sequence under 3 other names.
GCCCUCGUAGCUCAGCAGGUUAGAGCGCGUUCUUGGUAAGAACGAGGUCUCCGGUUCGAAUCCGGACGAGGGCUCCA